This 253-nucleotide ribosomal RNA is filed under the name uncultured bacterium. RNAcentral's name for it is "partial 16S ribosomal RNA". It matches the Rfam family "Bacterial small subunit ribosomal RNA", at positions 524 to 776 of the family's 1533-position model. The record is from RNAcentral.
UACGUAGGAUGCGAGCGUUAUCCGGAUUUACUGGGUGUGAAGGGUGAGUAGGCGGCAUGGUAAGCCAGAUGUGAAAGCCUUGGGCUUAACCCGAGGAUUGCAUUUGGAACUAUCAAGCUAGAGUACAGGAGAGGAAAGCGGAAUUCCUAGUGUAGCGGUGAAAUGCGUAGAUAUUAGGAAGAACACCAGUGGCGAAGGCGGCUUUCUGGACUGAAACUGACGCUGAGGCACGAAAGCGUGGGGAGCGAACAGG